RNAcentral lists this ribosomal RNA (399 nucleotides) under Triticum aestivum (bread wheat). RNAcentral describes it as "partial small subunit ribosomal RNA". The record is from RNAcentral. Lineage: Eukaryota; Viridiplantae; Streptophyta; Magnoliopsida; Poales; Poaceae.
AUGCAACUCAGCUCUGGAUGCCUCACUAUUGCCGUCUCUUGGUACGAUGAGAGGACACCCAGCUCCAAAUUUCUCGCUGCAACCAACCAUUGGUACAAUGAGAGGACACCCAGCUCUGAAUGCCUCACUGCAGUCGUCCAUUGGUACGAUGAACCAAGCUCCAAAUGCCUCACUGCAGCCAUCCGUUGGUACGAUGACAGGACACCCAACUCCGAAUGCCUCACUACAGCAUCCCAUUGGUAUGAUGAUAACACACCCAGCAUCAAAUGCCCCACUGCAGCCAUCCGUUGGUACAAUGACAGGUCAAAAUCAAGUCUUCUUCCAACAACAGAAGCCAACUUAAUCUGUCAUCGUUAUCAAAGACUCAUGUUUUUUUUCUACUUUACUAAAAACUUGUAA